This 338-nucleotide long non-coding RNA is filed under the name Mytilus galloprovincialis (Mediterranean mussel). Lineage: Eukaryota; Metazoa; Mollusca; Bivalvia; Mytilida; Mytilidae. The record is from RNAcentral.
ACGAUAAUUAUUUGAUACCUCUGACGAAUCACGAUUUAUAUAUAAGGUAAAAUUUUAACCAAUUUGACGCUCACGGUAGCCGGAAGUGCCCAAUUUUGACGCCUGACGAUAAAGGUCAUUACUAGCCUCAUUAAUAUGUAUUGCAGUGCAAAGUGAGGAAAUGCUACAUUAACAAGUCGAAUUCAAAAUGUUUGAACUAAGGGCUUUUAUUUUGAUUUGUUAGGGUAAAGUUGUGGUUUUGUUCUCAGAACUAAAAAAAAAAAAUACAAAAAAGUCUUCAUUUGUGUAAAAAUGUAGUCAUAGAUGAUCAUGAGUUUCAUUUCUUUUUCUAUUGUGAU